RNAcentral lists this ribosomal RNA (508 nucleotides) under uncultured bacterium. RNAcentral describes it as "partial 16S ribosomal RNA". It matches the Rfam family "Bacterial small subunit ribosomal RNA", at positions 28 to 507 of the family's 1533-position model. The record is from RNAcentral.
GACGAACGCUGGCGGCGUGCCUAAUACAUGCAAGUCGAACGCUUCUUUCCUCCCGAGUGCUUGCACUCAAUUGGAAAGAGGAGUGGCGGACGGGUGAGUAACACGUGGGUAACCUACCCAUCAGAGGGGGAUAACACUUGGAAACAGGUGCUAAUACCGCAUAACAGUUUAUGCCGCAUGGCAUAAGAGUGAAAGGCGCUUUCGGCUGUCGCUGAUGGAUGGACCCGCGGUGCAUUAGCUAGUUGGUGGGGUAACGGCUCACCAAGGCCACGAUGCAUAGCCGACCUGAGAGGGUGAUCGGCCACACUGGGACUGAGACACGGCCAAGACGCCUACGGGAGGCAGCAGUAGGGAAUCGUAGGCAAUGGACGAAAGUAUGACCGAGCAAGGCCGAGUGAGUGAAGAAGGUUUUCGGAUCGUAAAACUCUGUUGUGAGAGAAGAACAGGGACGUUAGUAACUGAACGUCGCCUGACGGUAUCUAACCAGAAAGCCACGGCUAACUACGUG